This is a long non-coding RNA of Poecilia latipinna (sailfin molly), 586 nucleotides long. RefSeq lists it as uncharacterized. NCBI's taxonomy places the organism in Eukaryota, Metazoa, Chordata, Actinopteri, Cyprinodontiformes, Poeciliidae. The record is from RefSeq and is a predicted model, not a curated record. The transcript is spliced from 2 exons.
AUGGGACUGAUGAUGAAAGUGAACUUGUCAUGUUUCUGGCCCGUCUGCCUGCUUUGUUUUUCCCCUCAGCUCUCACCUCUCCCAUCAAGCUCAUCUGGUUCACCUUCAUGCUGCUGCGCUAGAGCACAAUCAGGCUCAUGUCUUCCACCUGUUCACCAGGAGUUAUUAGUCGGCUCUCAGGCAGGCAGAUGGUGCCAGAUUUUUGAAAGCCUUGGUCCCACGUCAGAUUCUUCACUGGCUUCUGUUUUCUGGACUCGACCCUGCUUCUGCCUUUCGACCUCUGCCUCCUGCCUUGCCCCUGGAUUUGACUGCCUGACAUUGCCUGCACGUGUUGAACCCUUUUCUGUGCCCUGACCACUGCUUUUCGCCUGCCCCUCAGAUAAGUCUUGCCUUGUCCUGCCACCCUGAUCCUGCCUCAACCCCUUGACCUCCUACUUCUAUUUCUUUCUGGAUGUGUCACCUGUUACUACCACUGAGCUGCCUGAACUCCUCAUCCCCCACAACACUUUAAGAAGAGGUUCCUGUCCCAUUGCCGGUGGUGGCCUGCCCCCUACCCUGAUCCUCAAUAAAGAUCUUAUUGUUUUUU